UCUUCAGCAGUUUCAUUGCAGUUAUUUUUUUCUCACAAAGAAAUACACGUCUUCACAUUUAAGACUCACAAAUUGUUGCUCCCACUUUUCAAAGGAGAUGUGGUGUUUCCAGAUUUAGAAAGACACUUCCAGCUGCCAAGCUCUGUCAGACCCUGCCUUGGCUUAACGAGGAAUGUUUCUGUUUUCCUUAGGCAAAGAAAAAAAAGCAAAGCACCCAAAUUAUUUAAGUAUCUUUCAGUUUAGUUUAGUGGCCAAGAAACGCAGUUAUGUGAAAAUCUGGAGGAGGAGCUUGGGUUGAGGACUUGGACUCAACUGUCAAAUGCUGUGCCUGGCUUUGCGCAGACUGGCGAAGCUUCUGAGCCUCUUUCCUUGCUGGGAUAAUGGGGAGGUUGAACUAUAGGGUUUUUGGAGUCUUUUCUAGUUCUAAAGUUCUAUGAUUUGAUAUAUUAGUCUCCUCUACUGUUACCAAAGUUUUUGUAUGUGUAUACCCUCUCCAAAGGAGGGGUAGUAUGUCUUAUUGUAAGGAAGUCACCAGGGACAAUGGGAAUGUGUUGUUAGACGAUUUUUCACUCUCUGUUGAGGCCAUGAGGGAUGACAAGUGGUUAAUACUGGGACAGGAAAUGCAGCAGGCUUGGACCAGGAAGUCAGGGACUUCCUCUCCUCUCUGGGAACCUAAUCUGAUUGCUCAUGGAAGAAGCCUGACUUUGGGUGUCUUUUGUGGCUACUCUGGAACAUCUACUGACCUGAUCACACAAGUUCCAUGGCAUUCCUCAGCAGGGGAGGAUUUUUGGUAUGUGGACAUUUCCCUGAAGAUCUGUAAUACUGGUGUCUGAGGCACUGGACGUUGACGACGCACUGCGAGAGAGGAGUGCUCUCAUCCUCCUUGCACUCUCAGAAACUACUGCCAACUGGGCAGUGAACCUCGGACUCAAUGGUGAUUCCCUAAGACAUAGGGCUGGUACUGGACUGCUGGCUUUGGUGGCAAGGUGGCCACAAUCUCAAUCUCAACUCUUUCUGCCUUGGACCUCAGCUACUGUUGCAGUUCUUUUGGCUGAAGAAUUUGACGGACUCCCUGUUUUCAACUGUUCUACAGUGAAACCACAGCUGCAACAAUGGUGGUAGAGAAUGGUUUCUUCUGGCAGACAAAGGGAUUUUCUUUGAAGUGAUUUAGGUCUUCAGAUUCAGAAUGGAACUUACACUACUGGUUUUCCUGGGUCUCCCCCUUGCAGACGGCAGAUAUUGAGACAGCUUCCAUAUCAGCUCACCAACCCCGCAUCAGAGGCCACGAGCAGAGCUUUGUGUGUUCUGGAAAACCUUAGCCAAGGAAGCAGCACCUGGGAACUGAGAGGGGUCAGGACUCUUGGGGACUGGAGGAGAGAAGGCCUGCACGCUCCCGCAGCUCACCAACACCUGCAUAAGCCAUCGAACUGAACACACUGACUUAGCAGCCUCUCUUCGAGUCCAAGGAGGAAGAAGGGAAGUCAGCACAAACAUGAAUAAGCCUUCAAGGACAAGAGGUCAGCUGACUUCCCAAAGACAUGUGGGUCACGCCAGAUCUCCUUAGCUUGGCACUCUGUACCCGCCCACCAGCUAACCCUAAAUCUCCCUAGUUCCAGUCACUGUGCUCCCCCCUCCACGCCAGCGGGCGCGACCCUCCACCCCCAGCGUUUUGAUCCUGUGAUCCACUUCUCAUCGAAAUGCCCUUGGCCUCUCUGAAACUUUUCUGCUUUUUCAGUUUAGUUUCGGUCCAUCUCCUCCAGGAAGUCUUCCCUGUUCCACCAGCUGGCAGCAGGCACCACUCGGCUGAGCUCCAGCCUGACCCACCUGCUUCCUAGCAUGUCCACCCCUAAAGCAUCCUUUCAGUAUUUUCCUUCAAGAGCCACCAUGUUUGGAAGGAUUUAGCCUACUGAUCACAUUUACGUGGCAAGUAAAUUUAUCUACCACUUACUUAACCGUGGUAAACCAAUCAACCACAUAUUUCCCCAGUUUUGUUACUCAAAGAAGAAUCUAGUCUCUCAGGGAGUUCUUCCCUGCUUGACCAUCCUUGGAGUGUUCCUGGUGCCAAAAUCACCUCUCAACUCUUCUUACCCUUUUGCUUCAUGCUAAGUGUUAGGAAAGCAUUUUAAUCAUAAAUAUCACUAUUAUUUGACAUCAUAUUGAAAAUAGUCGUUUCUAUAUUCUCUAGUAAAUGAGAACGAAUGGAUUAUUUUCAGAAAAAUUCUUACCAAAACUGACUCAGAAAGAGGUUUGUAGAAACCCAAACCAUGGAGGAAAUUGACAAUGAUGCAAAAACUACCCAGGUCCAGAUCAUUUAACAAGUUAGUUAUUUUAAACCUUUAAGGGAAGAGAUGCUUCUGAUGUUAUUAAAUUCAUCUGGGGCAUAGAGGAAAAAGCUUCCUCCUUAUUUUAUGAAGCCAACAUAUCAUUGGUACCAAAACUUCAUAGAGAUCACACAUAUGCAUCAUGCACCUCAUACAAGCAUUGCCCCUCCACAUACACACACACACACACACACACUGCUCACACUACACACAGUACACAUACCCGCACACCACACACACACUGUACAAACAUACCACAUCUGCACACCACACACCAUUCAUACACACACACAUUUCAUACUCUACACAAAUACAAACGUGCUUCCCACACAUACACUAUGCACACGUACACCACCCACACACUACACAUCCCACACCACACAGACUCACAUCAUACCUACGCCACUCAUGUCACCCCCCCACAUACACUAGGGUAUUCUCACUUUUAAACAUGAUGUAAAAAUCCUAAUUAAAAUAUUAACAAAUAGAAUCCAGUAGUCCAUUAAAAAAAUACACUGUGACAUAGUGGGGCUCAUUUCAGGGUGAUUCGAUUUUAGAAAAAUCUAUUAGUGCAAUUCACCCUAUUAAUAAUCAAAGGAGAAAAGGUAUGAUUACCUUCAAAGAUACAGAAAAGGAAUGUAAUAAAAUUGAACAUUCAUUUAUAGUAAAAUAAUAAUAAUAACAAGAGCUAACAUUUGUUUUGCCCUUGUUCUGUGCUGGGCACUGUCUGACAAGCUUUGUAUGCAUUUUCUCAGUUAGUCCUCACCCUCACCCGAUGAUGAAAGUACUAUCUAUCACCCUCAUUUUAUAGAUAAGGAAACUAAAGCUUAGCAAGGUUAAGGAUCUUGCCUCAGGUCACACAGCUAGGAAUUGGGCUGUAGAUAGCUAGUAAGUGGCUUAUUCUUAACCACUGCGUCAAAAUAGGAAUAUAGGAAUACUGCCAUAAUACAAUAGACAUAUGUAUCCCAAAUCAUAAGCAAUAUCAGGAGUAACAGGAAAACAUUGGGAACAGUUCCAUUAAAAUCAGGAAUAAGACAAGUGUGUCCAUUAUCACUGUUAUCUAACAUUUUUCUGGAAGAGCUAGCCAGUGCAAUUAGAUAAGAGAGCCAAUAAAAGUAUAAAUAUUGUAAGAAAGAAGGUGAAAUUCUACUUACUGCAGAUGAAAUGACAAUGUAACUGAAACCCCAAGAGAACCAACUGAAAAGCCAUUAGAAACAAUAUGAGAAUUCAGACAGGUAGCCAGUCACAUAGCUCAUGUUGAAAAAAAAAAAUCAAUAACUUUCCUGAAGGGAAACAGCAACCAGGUAGAAAAUUCAAUAGAAGAAAAGAUCUCAUUCACAACAGCAAUGAAAAAGUGAAAUACUUAAGAAUAAAUUAACAAAAUGGUACAUAUCAUACUAUAUGAAGAAAAAGAUACAACGCUGAGAGACAGAAAAGAAGAAUUCAUCAAGAAACAGUUCCUUUUUUUUUGAGAUUAGCCCUGAGCUAACAUCUGCCGCCAACC
This is a non-coding RNA of Equus caballus (horse), 3825 nucleotides long. Lineage: Eukaryota; Metazoa; Chordata; Mammalia; Perissodactyla; Equidae. The record is from RefSeq and is a predicted model, not a curated record.